Molecule: long non-coding RNA, 618 nt
Organism: Alligator mississippiensis (American alligator)
Lineage: Eukaryota; Metazoa; Chordata; Crocodylia; Alligatoridae
Exons: 4
Source: RefSeq, a predicted model, not a curated record
GCUGGGGCCGGGGUCAGGGUCAGCAGGGCGGUGGGUGUUGGCUGAGGAGGGGCCUGUGCCGGGAUCAGCCCGGCUCCCGCGGUGCAGACUUGCUGCUGAGGCAAUGUGCUGCUUCUGAGGACUCGUGCAAACGACACCAGCUCCCAAAGCAACGCCUCUGCCCCCAGCACCCAGCUCUCCCAUCUCGCUGAGCAAUGGAGGCAAGAAAAGCCACCGGGCAGGAUGAUGCUGAGCUGCCCAAAACCCUCGAGUCCCUGUCCGAACGCAUCAGGGCCCUGCUAACGGUGCUGGAAGCCCAGCAGCAACGGCUCCAGGAAAAGACCGCCAGCCUCGACCUGCUGAUGACGGAGCUCGCGGGCCUGCGGGCCUCUCUCAGGGCACCUGCUGGGAUGGAGAGCAGCUCCUUGGCUCUGCAGGAAGAGAAAAAUCGCCCCUGAAAUGCCGGCUGGGUUGGCCUGGCCGCCAGCCUGUUGCUGGAAGAACCCUUCACAUGCACACGGUUGCUCUCCAGGAAGUGCUUAGCCCUUUCUCUCCUUGAGCUCUGCUAAGCUGGCUUUGUAUUGUCCCCUGGCCGCCUGAUGCUCACGGCACGGAAAUAAAAUGGUUUAUGUAUCCCUU